UUGUGGAAUUAGUUCGAACGAUUAAUUUUCGAAAAAACGAACGUUAUUUAGGGGCUCGCGAAAGUUGACUUUUUAUACGUUCAAAAUUUGGGAAAACUUUCUUCAUGAAAGUUGUAGAGCUCGUCGAUACGAUCGCGUGCAUAUGCGGAACGCAAAAAUCGGAGUUCGUAUGAAUUAGUUAUGAUUUUUUGAAAAAGUUUCCAAUUUAGUAUAAAGCUUCCAUUUUUGGAAAUUUCCAAAAAUAAAAACAGAUUUUUCCAAAAUUGGAAAAUCUGCUGCGAUUUUAGUUCCCCGCCGGAAAUCGCCUCCAAAACUUCGAUCGACGAUUUCUUCCUCCUCCGGCCACCGAUCCUCACCAAACUUCUUCCAUUGGCUUCGUAUGGUCCUUGCGCACCUGUCUGUGGCAGCCUUUCACGGCGGCGCGGCCUGUAGCGGCGGCGGCAAGCCCGGUCCUAUUUAAGCUCGAUUUUGGUCAACGCCGGUUUUCUCCUAGCUCCGGCCACCAAAACUUCCGAUCCUUGGCUCCAUGAACUCCCCUCAACCUGCUGAUCAUCAUACUAGGAGGAUUGCACCUAGAGUGACCGGUUUCACGUUCGUCGGAGCUCGUGGGUUCCCCUUGAUGUUAUUAACAACUCUCUAGAAGGCAUCGAGGCCUGAAAUUGAAGCUUUGACGUCGAAAUCGAGCCUUGCCGGAUUCUGCAAAAUUCUGGAAUUUUUCCGACCACCGAAGCUUUCGAUCGGUAUAUCUCGAGCUACAGACCAUAUUUUUCUGUGAUUCUUGAACCAGUGAGUUCUUCUUGAGUUUCUUAACAACUCUUCAGAAGGAAUCGAAGCCUUAAAUUGACGUUUUUACGUCGAAUUGGAGCUCACCGUUUUCUACAGUUUCUCGCCGGUUUCUGGAAAAUUCCGGCCACCUUCAUACUGUUCAAGGUGAUUGACGAAUCGAGUUGGUGGACGAUUCAGAUGGAUAUGUUGCUUUUAGAAGACGCAGCUGGAAUUGGAGCGGGUAAUCCUACAGGACAGGAGAACCAGGACGGUGAUCGUGCGGUUAAAGCAAUUGUUAGAGUUUUACAGCAAUUGUAAGUUGCGAGGUGUGUUAUGCUCAUUUGAGCUUUACAAUAUUGCUUGUGAGAGUGGAUUGUAAUAAUGAACUCGAAGUUUCGAGAUUUGGAUUUUGUAAUUGUAAUUAUUCAUGUUUCGGAUUUGAAUUUAUUAUUCAAAAUUCGGGGCGUGACA
Rosa rugosa (rugosa rose) is the source of this 1236-nucleotide long non-coding RNA. RefSeq lists it as uncharacterized. The record is from RefSeq and is a predicted model, not a curated record. Lineage: Eukaryota; Viridiplantae; Streptophyta; Magnoliopsida; Rosales; Rosaceae. The transcript is spliced from 4 exons.